UGGCUCAGAUUGAACGCUGGCGGCAGGCCUAACACAUGCAAGUCGAGCGGAAACGAAGAGGUGCUUGCACCUCUGGCGUCGAGCGGCGGACGGGUGAGUAAUGCUUGGGAAUAUGCCUUAUGGUGGGGGACAACAGUUGGAAACGACUGCUAAUACCGCAUGAUGUCUACGGACCAAAGUGGGGGACCUUCGGGCCUCACGCCAUAAGAUUAGCCCAAGUGGGAUUAGCUAGUUGGUGAGGUAAUGGCUCACCAAGGCGACGAUCCCUAGCUGGUUUGAGAGGAUGAUCAGCCACACUGGGACUGAGACACGGCCCAGACUCCUACGGGAGGCAGCAGUGGGGAAUAUUGCACAAUGGGCGCAAGCCUGAUGCAGCCAUGCCGCGUGUGUGAAGAAGGCCUUCGGGUUGUAAAGCACUUUCAGUAAGGAGGAAAGGUUAAGUGUUAAUAGCACUUAGCUGUGACGUUACUUAC
Molecule: ribosomal RNA, 473 nt
Filed under: Pseudoalteromonas sp. PA12(2010)
Lineage: Bacteria; Pseudomonadati; Pseudomonadota; Gammaproteobacteria; Alteromonadales; Pseudoalteromonadaceae
Description: bacterial SSU rRNA
Rfam family: Bacterial small subunit ribosomal RNA
Source: RNAcentral